This 98-nucleotide ribosomal RNA is filed under the name Oryzias latipes (Japanese medaka). Lineage: Eukaryota; Metazoa; Chordata; Actinopteri; Beloniformes; Adrianichthyidae. The record is from RNAcentral.
GACGGAGGACAUACCACCCUGAACACGACUGACCUAAGCAGGGUCGGACCUGGUUAGUACUUGGAUGGGAAAUUGCCUGGGAAUACCAGGUGCUGUAA